UACGGAAGGGGCAAGCGUUGUUCGGAAUCAUUGGGCGUAAAGGGCGCGUAGGUGGUUUUGUAUGUCUACCGUGAAAGCAUACAGCUCAACUGUAUUUUGUCGGUAGAAACUGCAGGACUUGAGGCUGGGAGGGGCUGGUGGAAUCCCCUGUGUAGCGGUGAAAUGCGUAGAGAUGGGGGAGAACACUCGUGGCGAAGGCGGCCAGCUAGACCAGUUCUGACACUGAGGCGCGACAGCGUGGGGAGCAAACAGG
RNAcentral lists this ribosomal RNA (253 nucleotides) under uncultured bacterium. RNAcentral's name for it is "partial 16S ribosomal RNA". It matches the Rfam family "Bacterial small subunit ribosomal RNA", at positions 524 to 776 of the family's 1533-position model. The record is from RNAcentral.